This 222-nucleotide unclassified non-coding RNA is filed under the name uncultured Micrococcaceae bacterium. Its description in RNAcentral is "contains 16S-23S intergenic spacer region". It matches the Rfam family "Bacterial small subunit ribosomal RNA", at positions 978 to 1196 of the family's 1533-position model. The record is from RNAcentral. Lineage: Bacteria; Bacillati; Actinomycetota; Actinomycetes; Micrococcales; Micrococcaceae.
AAGGCUUGACAUGGACCGGACCGGGCUGGAAACAGUCCUUCCCCUUUGGGGCUGGUUCACAGGUGGUGCAUGGCUGUCGUCAGCUCGUGUUGUGAAAUGUUGGGUUAAGUCCCGCAACGAGCGCAACCCUCGUUCUAUGUUGCCAGCGCGUGAUGGCGGGGACUCAUAGGAGACUGCCGGGGCCAACUCGGAGGAAGGUGGGGAUGACGUGUAACCGAAUCU